CCGACGGUGAGGGGUGAAAGCUGGGGGAGCAAACCGGAUUAGAUACCCGGGUAGUCCCAGCCGUAAACGAUGUGCGUUAGGUGUAUCGGUGACCACGAGUCACCGAGGUGCCGAAGAGAAAUCGUGAAACGUACCGCCUGGGAAGUACGGUCGCAAGGCUGAAACUUAAAGGAAUUGGCGGGGGAGCACCACAACAGGUGGAGCCUGCGGUUUAAUCGGACUCAACGCCGGAAAACUCACCAGAUAA
This 247-nucleotide ribosomal RNA is filed under the name uncultured archaeon. Its description in RNAcentral is "partial 16S ribosomal RNA". It matches the Rfam family "Archaeal small subunit ribosomal RNA", at positions 691 to 937 of the family's 1478-position model. The record is from RNAcentral.